GAUGAACGCUGGCGGCGUGCCUAAUACAUGCAAGUCGAGCGAACAGACGAGGAGCUUGCUCCUCUGACGUUAGCGGCGGACGGGUGAGUAACACGUGGAUAACCUACCUAUAAGACUGGGAUAACUUCGGGAAACCGGAGCUAAUACCGGAUAAUAUAUUGAACCGCAUGGUUCAAUAGUGAAAGACGGUUUUGCUGUCACUUAUAGAGGGAUCCGCGCCGCAUUAGCUAGUUGUUAAGGUAACGGCUUACCAAGGCAACGAUGCGUAGCCGACCUGAGAGGGUGAUCGGCCACACUGGAACUGAGACACGGUCCAGACUCCUACGGGAGGCAGCAGUAGGGAAUCUUCCGCAAUGGGGGGAAGCCUGACGGAGCAACGCCGCGUGAGUGAUGAAGGUCUUCGGAUCGUAAAACUCUGUUAUUCGGGAAGAACAAAUGUGUAAGUAACCAUGGACGGCUUGACGGUACCUAAUCAGAAAGCCACGGCUAACUACGUG
RNAcentral lists this ribosomal RNA (497 nucleotides) under uncultured bacterium. Its description in RNAcentral is "partial 16S ribosomal RNA". It matches the Rfam family "Bacterial small subunit ribosomal RNA", at positions 28 to 507 of the family's 1533-position model. The record is from RNAcentral.